RNAcentral lists this ribosomal RNA (497 nucleotides) under uncultured bacterium. RNAcentral's name for it is "partial 16S ribosomal RNA". It matches the Rfam family "Bacterial small subunit ribosomal RNA", at positions 28 to 507 of the family's 1533-position model. The record is from RNAcentral.
GAUGAACGCUGGCGGCGUGCCUAAUACACGCCAGUCGAGCGAACAGAUGAGGAGCUUGCUCCUCUGACGUUAGCGGCGGACGGGUGAGUAACACGUGGAUAACCUACCUAUAAGACUGGGAUAACUUCGGGAAACCGGAGCUAAUACCGGAUAAUAUAUUGAACCGCAUGGUUCAAUAGUGAAAGACGGUUUUGCUGUCACUUAUAGAUGGAUCCGCGCCGCAUUAGCUAGUUGGUAAGGUAACGGCUUACCAAGGCGACGAUGCGUAGCCGACCUGAGAGGGUGAUCGGCCACACUGGAACUGAGACACGGUCCAGACUCCUACGGGAGGCAGCAGUAGGGAAUCUUCCGCAAUGGGCGAAAGCCUGACGGAGCAACGCCGCGUGAGUGAUGAAGGUCUUCGGAUCGUAAAACUCUGUUAUUAGGGAAGAACAAAUGUGUAAGUAACUAUGCACGUCUUGACGGUACCUAAUCAGAAAGCCACGGCUAACUACGUG